Small RNA from Xanthomonas campestris pv. campestris, 76 nucleotides. It matches the Rfam family "Xanthomonas sRNA sX9". The record is from Rfam. NCBI's taxonomy places the organism in Bacteria, Pseudomonadati, Pseudomonadota, Gammaproteobacteria, Lysobacterales, Lysobacteraceae.
AUGUACCCCCAUACACUCCGGGUGCUCCGCGCCGGCCGCACCCACCUGACAACUUGCUCGCUACGUUUCGGUAGCC